Molecule: unclassified non-coding RNA, 310 nt
Filed under: uncultured Phanerochaete
Lineage: Eukaryota; Fungi; Basidiomycota; Agaricomycetes; Corticiales; Corticiaceae
Description: sequence contains ITS2
Source: RNAcentral
AGUCCUACCUGAUUUGAGGCCAGAUGUCAGAGUAAAGUUGUCCAACUCAAGGACGGUUAGAAGCACAAGCUUAUGUUACUUCACGACCACGGCGCAGAUAAUUAUCACACCGAAGCGAUCUGUUACACUCGCGCUAAUGCAUUUAAGAGGAGCCGACUCAACAUGAAGCCAGCACAAGCCUCCAAGUCCAAGCCUUCGAUAACUUAACAAAAUUAAGUUAUCGAGGGUUGAGAAUACCAUGACACUCAAACAGGCAUGCUCCCCGGAAUACCAGGGAGCGCAAGGUGCGUUCAAAGAUUCGAUGAUUCAC